Molecule: long non-coding RNA, 472 nt
Filed under: Volvox carteri
Lineage: Eukaryota; Viridiplantae; Chlorophyta; Chlorophyceae; Chlamydomonadales; Volvocaceae
Description: long non-coding RNA (VCAR_LNC002281)
Source: RNAcentral
GGUGACAGCAUAGCUCCCUGGGCUGUGCGGGUAGACAAGUACGCUGGCAUUGCAACACCCCUUGUCUUAGAGCCGGCUCGCUUCGCCAACACACUCAUCUAAACCAAAUCUACUAGACGCCCCUUAGAUAAAACUACAAACCAGGGGCCGCUAGCCAAGCCGAGUCGUCUCUGAUCACGCCAACUGACUCAACUCUGGUCCUGCCGGUCCGAUCUUUCCCUCCUUCCUUAAUCCUGUGAUUGACAUAUUACGAACGACUGAGCCGAGCCUCCUGGUUAAGCGUUUUACCAGGCGAUCUCCUGAGGCCCGCUUCCGUUACCGCAUCAUCUGCCUUGGGUGGGAUACUGCCGUCGCGGGAGUCCGCUGUAACAUCAUGUUCCUCCAGUUCGUCAUGUUUUCGUUUGAACCAUCUCCGCUCCAGUCUUGCACCUCCGAAUUCUCCGUUAUGGUGUCGCCGUCAGUGGCGACCGAG